RNAcentral lists this transfer RNA (69 nucleotides) under Ictidomys tridecemlineatus (thirteen-lined ground squirrel). RNAcentral describes it as "Spermophilus tridecemlineatus (thirteen-lined ground squirrel) tRNA". It matches the Rfam family "tRNA". Rfam says of the family: Transfer RNA (tRNA) molecules are approximately 80 nucleotides in length. Their secondary structure includes four short double-helical elements and three loops (D, anti-codon, and T loops). The record is from Rfam by way of RNAcentral. Lineage: Eukaryota; Metazoa; Chordata; Mammalia; Rodentia; Sciuridae.
GGGGCUAUAGCUCAGUGGUAGAGUGCUUGCCUGGCACGCAUGAGGCCCUGGAUUUCAUCCCCAGCACCA